UGGGAGCGCACGAGGCGCUGCGCCGCGCCGCUCUCCGUCGGUUCCCCCUGCAGGUCUGGCGCUGCGCUCAGCCUACCUGUUACUGCUGCGCCCGGAUCUCGUCUCCUUAUUGAAGUCCCUCUUAACUUCUCAUCGGAGAAGUAAGUUCGCUUUUUAUCAGAAUGCGGCUACUCUUUGCUCCGUUUGAAACUCUUGAAGUGCUUAUCUAAUUUCUUUGUAGUCACUGGUAAUUGUUGACUUUAUUUUUUUUCCCCUUCGACUAAGUAAAGAAAAAUGACUUAAAUGGUGUUUUAAUAAGUUUGAUUGUUAAGCAGCUGCCAAUAGCAACCCUUAUUUCUCUAACAGCCAUGGCGUUUGUUGGCUUGAGUUUUCUGUAUGCACACAUAUGUACCUUUGUGUAUACAUUUGUAUAUCAUAGAAUGGUUGGAGUUGGAAGGGACCCCCAAAGGCCGUCUGUUCCCCCUGCCUGCAGAGCACAGGGACACCCACAGCUCCAGCAGUGCUCACAGCCCCAUCCCCUGACCGUGGCUGUCUGCAGGGAUGGGGCACCACCACCUCUCUGGGCACCCUGUGCACUGCCUCACCGCCCUCAGUGUGAACAACUUCUUCCUUAUAUCCAAUCUAAAUCUCCUCUCUUUUCAUUAGGAACCAUUUCCCGUUGUACCAUCACAACUGACCCUCCUAAAGAGUGUCUCCUGUCUCCAUAGACGUGUUCCAAGAAAAUUCUAGUGCCUCAUAAGCUCUAAAAACGACGAGUAAAGCUCUAAAGCCACACAAAGCAAUUCUCAAAAUAAGACUUUUUUUUUUCUUUUAAAGUAAAGAAUACCAGCUUUUGGUGCAUGUUCUUUCAAAGUUUCUGCUGGGAGGCUUUCUUGUAAAAAUUCACUUGCAGGCAAAAGAGUAGUGAGGACAAGCUGCUGGGGAGCAUUCUUGUUUAUUCUUCCAGAGGAAAAAAGGGAUGGAACAAUUAAUUUAUGUUUCUGACAUUGUUUAAAAGGUAAUGCUGGAAGGAGCUGAAACUGAUACUGACGUUCUCUGUCCUUCUGGUCCAUUGUCAAAUCAUUCAUGUUUCACUCAACACUGUGUAUCUAUGGGGAAAUCAAGAGCCUGACGUGUUGCUGUGUUAGUAUUAAGGACAGAACAGAUGCCGUCCAUUGAUGGUGUACCUGGGGCUCUGAGCACCUGAUGGAGCUGUGGGUGUCUCUGUGCACUGCAGGGAGUGGGACUGGAUGCCUUUGGGGGGGUCCCUUCCAAUCAAACCAUUCUAUGAUGAUUCUGUGAUGAUGAUUUUCUUGCUGUGGCUUUUCACCAAGACUGUGUAUUUAUGAACCCAUACGAAUAUGUUGGUUUGGGUCAUCAUUUAAAGAUCACUGUGAAAUUUAGCAAGGGAUUUUGCAGCUGGUGACCCUAGGAACACUUCAGCAGUGGCCAGUGUUGCUUCCAUCAGUUCAAUGGGCUUCUCUUGGCCCCAGUCGUUUUGUCAGUGCACACAGCUCUUUCAGAAUUAAAAUGCGUUUUUCAUUAAAGUGAAAUAUUAGAAAUUCUUGAAAAUCAGCCACGCAUUAGAGAAUGAAUCAAAGGAACUGUGGUUUGGGGACUGUACAAAGACUUACUUUUGUUUAUGUUAAUAGCAUCAAUUACUCAUUAGUGUUGAAAGUCUCCGAACAACAAUAACAACAAAAAACAACUUAAGAAACAAUGAACUUUCAGCUUUUGAUGGGUCAUCCAUUCAGUCUCCGGCUGGUUGUUGGUCAGAUUCCUAUCCAGCAGUGGUAUGCUAUUACAUUGUUUCUCAUGUUGUGAUGACCAAGACUUCUUAGGGUCAAGUGUCUACCAGAAUAACUCUUCAGAGAGAUGAAAUGUUCCUAUGCGUUCUUUAAUGUGGACACAGUUUGUAUUCAGCAAACUCAUCCCCAGGUUGCUGUGUCAGCUGCCCUCAUGCUGCUCCAAGGUCUGACUGCCCUGGUGGUAUUGGCAUGCUGGCAUAGUGUGCUUCCUGGGGCUGUGCCCUGGUGCUAGGAUGGCUGAGAUGUGAGUAGCAGUGUCUCUUUUGCUUGGAGAGGGAUUAUAUACCUUAAUUCUAUUUGUACUGGGCAAGCCUCAUAGAAUGAUAGAAUUGUUUGAGCCAGAAGGGACCCCUGAAGGCCAUCUGUUCACACUGCCUGCAGUGCACAGGGACACCCACAGCUCCAUCAGCGCUCACAGCCCCAUCCCCUGACAGUGGGUGUCCCCAGGGAUGGGGCACCACCACCUCUCUGGACACCCUGUGCACUGCCUCACUUCCUUCAUUACAAAAACUUCUUCCUUAUAUCCAAUCUAAAUCUCCCAUCUUUAAGUUUGAAACCAUUUCCACUUGGAGGUGCCCAAAGCCAGCCUGGAUGUGGCCCUGGGCAGCCUGAUCUGGGUUGCCAGUUGUAGGGGAACUGUUAGGUCAGGGCUCGUAGUGGUGAUGGAGCACCUGGUGAAGGGGCACAUUGUUUGCACCUGUGCUCCACACAUGAGCAGAAGGGGCGGACCCAGGGUGGAGCCUCCCUGGGCUCAUAUAAGGGCAGGUACUGAGGGGAGAGCAUCUCCUGGGCUUGGGCUACUUCUGAAGAUGGGGUGCUGUAUGGCCAGAGAACCCACUCAUGAGCUGGGUGAGUUUAGGUUUUCUUUCUAUAUCAGACUGUUGAGCUACCUGUGGUGCAUAGUUUGCCCAGUAUCACUGAGAGCCUGAUGGAGGUGAUUUUGCUUUUUUGUGACCUGAGCACCAAUAUAGGCUAUUUUUAAGAGGAACACUGGGGGUAAGGGUUUUGGAAUAUUAUUCUUGGUUUUGCUUGUGUGGUAGAAGUUCAGGUUUUGAUGGUUUUGUUUCUGCUUGGAAGCUUCAGGAGGAAAAUAAUGAACUCUGUGUAGCCACUGAACAGAAGUGACGUGUGGGUUAUGCAAUGAUCUCCAGUUCUGUAUACUUUCUGUGCUCAAGAGGUAAUACUGGGGGGAGAGUGAGCAUAGUGGGCUUCUUAUUUUCUUCAUUGAAAGCUUUGGGAAGGAGAAUUUGCACACUUCAACUCCUUGCAGCUGUUUCUUGUAGCAAUGCCCUUGCCUGUGUUUUCAUCUUCAUGCUGUCCCAGAAGAUGGGGAAGCUUAGAAUUGGACUGCAGCACCAUGUGAAUGUGUGCCCUCCUUCAGCCUGCCUCCCACCCCUUAUUUACUUGAGUAACUUUGAAUCUUUCCUCUGUUUUCCCAAAAAGCAAAAAUAGCUAAAUUGUCAGGUAGGCUUUGCGCUCUGAAGUACUGGCAGAGUUUCUAAGAGAGCUGAGAGCAGCAACUGGAAAUAACUGUGUGGAUAUGGAGAUGUCUGGCAGUAAUCAGAGGAGGCUGAGUCAAGGGAGCGUUUGUGUCCCUUGAGAGUAGAAAACUUCUCAUUUUAUUUGAUGCUGUUGCUUUGUGAGCAGGCAGGUUGAGUUUCUUCUUGUGCCUGAAGGCCAUUCAAACUCAGGAAGUGGAAUUAUUUGUGGCAUUGAGUCACCAUUUUGGAUGUUUUCUUGUCUAGUUACUCUUGUAGACAAUGAAGACACCUGUGACUGGUUUUCUGUCACUUCCCAUACCUUAAAUGUAGUGCUCAGACUUCCAGUAAUGGUCUGAAGGACAUGGGGGUGAUAUAUUUCUCUGGUAAAACUGAAUUCCUGGUACCUGGUUUUGGCCUGCAUUGGCAUUAUGCUCUCAGAAUGCAGUGUUCUGGUGCUGAGGAGACACUGAAAUGUGGUACUCUGUGGGUGCUGAGGAUGGGAUGAGGGGGGAAGGCUGAGUGCUUCCUGUGUGGGUCCAUUCUGAUACACAGGUGGAAGACCUGGAACCCGUUUGCUCUGUCUUGCGUGGAGACUGCCUGAGUGCUAUGCUGUACUGCUACCUGUUUGCUUCUAUGCUGUGAGAGGGAGGGAUUUUUUUCUGCUAAUGAAAUGAGUAGCUACAGAUGUUGGGAGCACGUGUAGAAGGCAGCCCAUCAAAGUGUUUUACCUGGGUUGUUCAUGCUCUUGUGCUUUUGUCUUGACCCUGUGAGCUCUAGUCUAGUUAUGUCAAUACUUACUUUGUAGGAGGUUGGCUGUUAUUCUGGGCUUCUGAACACAGUAUUAUAAAUAAGGAUCUUUCACUUCAAUAUUUCAGUAUCCAAGCUGCCUCUGGAAUGGCAGUGGAAGCACAGGCUACCCAGAGCUGUGGGUGCCCCAUCCCUGGAGGUGCCCAAGGCCAUGGAUGGGCCCUGGGCAGCUGGACUGGGGGCAGCCAGCAUAUGGCAGGGUGGGGCUGGGGGGUCUCUGAGGUCCCCUCCAACCUCAGCCAUUCUGUGAUACUUGGUAACUCCUGUGCUAGCUACCUGUUGGUAGCUCUGAGAAUCCUACCUGUGCAACAUCCCAUUAAGGUAUCCUGUGGUGCUGUAAGAGAAUGGGGGGGUGUGUGUGUGGAGAUAGUUCUGGAACAGGACACUGGGCUGCUUAAACUCUGUGAGCACACUGUUUGCCUUGCAUCAAAUGACUUGCUGUGUCUGUCAUCUCUUGUUCAUCUUCUCCACAUGGUAUAAACCUGAAAUUAAUGCAGAGUUUUAGGGGCUGGUAACUUAAAAGCUGUAGGCCUGCAGUACAUGAGGCCUUAGAGCAUGAAGGCACCUGUGUAAACUGCUUCUAAAAGGAUCUAAGGCAAUAGUAAAUACAUGUUUCUAGGUGUUACUACAGGGGUACAAAUUUCAAUGAGGAGUUGCUGUUUCAAGAGUAAACUCCAGUGUCUGUUGUAUGGUCUGUGAGCAGUACUGGAUGGACUCCUACCAGAGCCAUGACAGCACUCAAGGCUGAGGCUGUCCCUUGAGGACAAGGCAGGAGACACGGCAUGAGACAGAUGAGGUAAAAAGGUAUCUAAGUAUGGAAGAAAAGGUGUAACAGCAAAAAACACUGAUGUGUCCAUAGAAGAAUGAGAAUAGAGGUGGCUAAGGAAGUAAGCCUACAAGUCUAGGUCUUGAAUUGAGGCCAGCUAGUGCAAGUUUUGUUUGCUUCCCCACUUUAUCCCUUACUUUUUAUCUGUAGAAAGUCAUCUGUGGCCGUUCAUAACUUUUUCACGUAGUUUAGUGAAAGAUUUCUACAGACUUAAGGCUUGCAACUGCAUCUACCUUUACCCUUAGCAGAAUGCUGCCUGUUGCCUUUCAGGUACUCCUGUUGCUCCAUCAGGAGAUGGCACUGGGAAAAUCCCAGAGGAGAGACUCAAACUGUUAAACUUGGAGCUGUUUGGAGAAGUUUUUCAUUUAUAUGUACUUACGUUAAGACUGGAUCUAUGUGAAUAUAAUGGUUUAGAUAUAAUUACAGUCUGCUUUGCAGUGUUACCAGCGCUUGUGGCCAGCUGUGCCCCACGGAUAGGACUGGCACACACUCACCCUGAGCACGCUGCUGGUGGAUGUGAUUAUGGGAUGGGGUCACUUUGUUUAAUUGCUUUGUUCAUGAAGGGCUUCUGAAAUGGCUCUGGGUGAAGCAGGUAGAGGUCACGAUUUGGUGUGGCAGAACUUGAUAAGAACAGAAUGUAGGCAGCUUUGCUCGAAGCGGAUCUUAUAGGAAAGUCUUGAGUAGUUGUAUAAAACCAUUGAUUAGCAUACAUAGUAAUUUUCUUCCAGUUUAUACCAUCUUGUGGUGGAGCAUGUAUUUAAAAAUGCUCCCUUUUUUAUUACAGUCCUCCAGUCCUUGUUUUGGCGUUUCAAAGUGAGGCCCUUCUGGACCAAAAUAACUUCCACAAGCAUAGUUUUUCAAAGUGUGAAUGCUUUCAAGAGGCCAGCAUCUUCUUGGUUAAGGAGAGGUGACAUCUGGAGGCAGCAAUCUCUCGUAUCCUCUGUGUGGGAGUUCUUUACCCAGCUAUGGAAGCAGUGCAUGUAUUUGCAUUAAUACUUAAUACAUUAAAAGCGCUCCCUUUAGGAGGUGUUAAUAUUUAACUCGAACAUACUAUCUCUUCUCUUGGACAUCUAUACUUUACUAUGCAAGUGUGGUCAGAUCGGAGGUGGUUGUGCCUGUGUAUGGAGACAGAAUGAAUGCAGGUUGAGCGUUUGGCCUUGUUUCUUGUGCUUCCUGACUUGAAGGGAGAGCCCUUCACAUUAAAGAAGAUUGGCAAAGGAAGAAGAGAUUAAUUUUAAACACAGACAUGUUUUGAAAUUGCUACAACAACGUGAGAUUAAAAAAAGAAAGAAUACAUUUUUCUUGUCUAUUUGACACUUGAACCAGACAUGACCAGGAAAGUGAUUUCUUUUUUAUAUCCAGUAGAGGCCAUCAAAAUCUGUACUUUACUGCGCUCACACCACUGGUGGGGCUCUGUUUAUGUUGGGAUUGAGUAGCGAUGCUCAGAAAAAAAGGGUUGUAGUGCCUUGGAGUGUCUCUUCACAGUGAUGAGCUGCUAUCAUUCUUUAUUUCCUUUUCAUGCUUCUUUAAAAGACUUCUGUUGUUGCAUUUGGCUUUAAGAUGAAAAACCAGUUUACAAAGGUUGAUUAGGUGCCUGUUAUGUUCCAGACACAAGUACGCCCUUAAAUAUGCAGCUUAAUAUAUGCAGACUCUCUAGGCUUCCCAGACGCAUGUUGCUCUGUACACUGAUGUAAAGAUUUUCAUUGUUUUCUAAUGCUGCUGGCAGCUUAAUCUUUCUGUUUGUUUUCUGGAGCUUCAGCUGUUCUAUUAUUUGGCAUCAUCAUCAGUAAUCGAGCAAGCUGAAGCCUCGGUGAGGAGGUGAGGAACUAAGGGACAUAUUUGAGAGUCAGCAGUCAUGGUUGGAGUGCAACUGUUUAAUUAGCUGUACAGGCACGAAUGUUGCAAGUAUGUGCCUCCUGCUGUGAAUUUAUUGCAUGUGCUUGGUAAGCAACUUUCAAAUGCUUCUGAUUGUAGUGUUUGAAGAAAAAUGGCUUUUAAUUCAGGAAAGACCCUGGUUUGCAUCACUUCUGCCAACAUCUGUUUGCCUAAUUGGAGCCUUUUGAUGCUUAACUGCUGGAAAAAAAGAAAGUAGUUUUGGGUGGGAGAAAUCCUUCUCUAUUUCUCACUCUGCCUCCCCCCAGCUCAGAAGAGCUGCUGACCUAACUUCUCAGCGAGUUCACCCUUGGAACUGAAAGCUUCCAACCUUACAUGAAGCAAAGCGUGCAUUUGGAGGAGUGACUUGGAGUUACAGGACCUGUUCUGUUUGUACACAAAUGGGUCAAUUCUCUUAAGUCUGCAGUUAGUGGGGAAGGAUCUAUUUUAAAGGCUGUGACUUAUUUUCUGCAGAGACUGUUCUUGAAGGCUUAUAGGCUUCUCUUAUUUGAACCUGGCUGCAUGGUGGCAGCUGCAAUUCAGCCCUGAUAGGUUUUACCAAAACAAUAAUAAUGGAAUCUGUAUUUCCUAGGUAAAAUAUUAUCCAUGUAAUGUGCCAGUUAUGCAGAGUAGUGCUCUGUUCUUUUCCCACUGAAGGUUUACUUCUCUUUGCUGGCUUUAGAGGUUAGGAUGCUCAGUGUAGGUCUCUUUAAUGGUCUUUUUAAAGACUGAUUGGCAGUUCUCUUAGGGAAGUGUCUGAGGUGUGUAGAUGGUGUGUGUGCUGUAAUGUGAAAACAACAUAGGUGUGCAUCCCAGUGUUGCAUUUUACAAGGGUCCAGCUUACCCUCUCUUACUUGUUUUGUACCUUCUUAGCAUCUUUAGAGGGCUUCUGUCCUUCAUGCUCUGAUAAAGGGGAGAUGGAUGCCAAGCUGACAGGCAUCCUGCAUGGCGUGUAGCAAGGCUGAGGUGAACUUGUGAAGCAGAGCCAGGCAGUGCUGGUGAGUUCAGUACUUAGUAGGAGCCAAGGGUUAGAGAGCUGUUUUUACUCAGAGGCAUGGUAUCCCCAGCCUGCUAGUUGGCAGCGCUCUGCCUGUUUUGAAGAUAAUAUCUUUUCAUCCCUGAACUACAUUGAAAAGACACUGUGGAGUAGCUAACACAGGAAGAUUCUCAAGCUGUGAUCUUACUUGUCUUCUGCUAUUUGAGAAAGCUGUGUUGCCAGAGCUCCUCCUUCCUCACCACAGUUUUUUUUCAGUGUAUCUUUCAAUGUUUUGAUAUUGGGAGUUUACAGAUUUCUGUAGUAAAAUGACAGGACUGCUGUGGCACACUGGGAUAAACUCAACCAUCUAUAUUUUGUGUAUAUUCAGUUGCCUCUGGGAGCUGUCUCCCUAAAUAAAAGAAGUUAAAGAUAGGGCUUUCCUUUCAUCUAUCCCUCUUGUCAUCUUCAGACAGCAAUGGGAAGGUUCAGAAGUCUUAAUCUUUCAGACAGCUUCAACAUUAAGCAUUGAUCUCUGAUGUGGAACAGUCAGCCAAUAUGUUUGCUCGUGUGUGUGUGUGAUGCAUGCGGGAUGAUUAAAUUGAGGUUGCACGAGGAUGAAGCAAGGAAAAUCUGUUUUUAAAACUAUGCAAGUGGCUUCUUUUUCCACAUCUUGGGUAGAAGUGUGCCUGCAGCCUAGAGAGACACUUCAGCUGUGCAUGCAACGUGGGAAGGAGCUACUGUCCUUGUCAGGUCUGAAGUGUCCUGAAAGAGUUAAGCUCUAAUUAGCUCACUCAUAAGGUAUUUAAUAUCCUUAUUAAACUCAACUGCUGGUUUACUUUUUUUUGUUAUGGUGAAUAAAAUUUCUUGAAGAGCUGAGCCUCUGCUUCUCAGAUCAGAGGCUCACAUGUUGAAGCUGGCAGUGCUAGAGGCUAGUUCCUAUCUGUGUGACAGCAUUUUUAAUUUAACAGGACCGGCUUUGAUGUGCUCGAAUAUUUAUAGGAAGCUUCAGAUCACUGCAGUAUAUGUUCUUUUUAACUGGAGCAGAAGUUCCUCCUCGUACAACAAACUUUGAUUCUCUCUGUUUACUCUUGGGUCCCUUUUGGAUUUGCAGUUGUCUGAGAGGUUUUGUGUUACAAAAAUACAGUUUGAGUGGGGGAGGAGCUGCUUGAUUUCCCUUCUAGUUUGUGCAGUUUGGGGGGUCGUCUGGUUACUGCAUGGUAGCUCCUUGUUUCAGCCCAAAUACAGGUAGUGACAUUGUGGGAGAGACUGGUACAGUGAAAUGGAACUUGAGCAAAAUGCAGUUAUCGUGCAACGUUCUCCCAUCAUCUCUGGGAGCUCUCCUGUGUCUGCAGGGUCUCAGACCUGAGAUGCCCUCAAGUCAGAGGGCACUCAGGAAGAUGUGCUCAUGUCCCAGAGAAUUGCAGAAUGGUUGAGAUUGGAGGGGACCUUACAGAUCCCCACCCUGCCAUGUGCUGGCUGCCCCCAGCUCAGCUGCCCAGGGCCCAUCCAUGGCCUCGGGCACCUCCAGGGAUGGGGCACCCACAGCUCUGGGCAGCACUGCCAGGGCCUCAGUGCCCUCUGAGUGAGCAAUUGCUUCCUCACAUCCAACCUCAGUUCCCUUCUUUUAGUUUAAAGCCAUUCCCUUGUGUCCUUUUACUAUCUGACUGAGUAAAAAGUUGCUCCUCUCCUGCUUGUAAGCGCCCUGCAAGUACUGGAAGGCUGCAUUGAGGUUUCCCUGGGGCCUUUUCUUCUGCAGGCUGAACAGCCCAGCUCCCUCAGCCUCUCUGCACAGGAGAGGUGCUCCAGCCCUUUGAUCAUCUUCAUGGCCCUCUGGACCUACUCCAACAGAAAUAAGAGUAAGAGCUUUCAAGUCACUUUGUGGCUUAAAGAGGAACUGAAAAUUUGAGGUUAAGCUCUCAGUGGGAGCUGAUCAGAAAUUAUGGGGGGAAAGAAAAGAAGUUUUAGGUGGAAUUUGCCUUUUUUUUUUUCAGAACUAUUCCACUCAGAUGGUUUGGCUUACGUGGAACUCUGUUCAUACUCGGGCAGAAAUCCUAAUAUAAGAGUACCCAGUGGGUCAACUAUCAGCUAAGAGUUUUCUCACCUUUCUUUGCCUGGGCAGCUUACCAGGCAUGCUGUCUCUGACCUGGAGCCCUUCCAGUGCCAGGAGGUGGGCUCUGUCAGAGCUGGCACUGCAGGCCCUUUCAAAAACAGUAAUGUGGAGCUUUUUUGCCACUUUCACUAGUUUUGGUAUCUUAGAAAGGCAUGAUUGUGGUUGGAAUCUUUCCCUUGAUUGUGCCAGAAGAGGAAGUGUUUAUGUCAUAUGAAAGUGUUUCUCAGGCUAGCUAUUCCAGUAAACUACUUUCCUUUUUUUUUCCUGCUGUAUUUCUGUUCUUUCUACUUCAUCUUAACUUUCUGUUGUGGAUCUCUUGUGGACUGCUUUAUCAUUCUUACCCCUUCCAGAGAAAGCCUUAUCAUGGUCAACUGGGACAUGGAAUCAUAGAAUAGAAUCACAGAAUUAUAGAGUAUCCUGAGCUGGAAGGGAAAGCAAAAGUGUUUUAUUUCCUAGAGUUUUCCAUGUGGAUGCCAGCAGUUGAGGCAGAUCUCUCUAGUUUGCUCUGCUUUGUUGGUUUUUUUUGCAAAGUUCUGUAUGUUUCAUGUCAUAAGGCCAUGUAAUUGUAACUUUUUCCAUUAUGCUGAAUUGGGACCUCAGUUAUCCAAGCAGAAGAUUUCUCAUGUAAAAAUUCAGCCUAAUGGUAACUUAUGCAUGUUUAAUGCAUGUCCUACACUGAAAGAUGUUUGUGAAUGUAGACGUACCUGCUGUUGAUGCUCUUUGUUGGUACUACCUAUUCCAGUUCAGCAAUUGAUUUCAAUUAUGUCACUGUCUGCAUAGCUAAAUAGUGACAGGGAGUGACUGCAGAAGUGAUUGGUUGAUCAGACCCAGUGCAUUUAUGCCUAUUUGAUGCAUAGCUUGUUCAGAGUAAUGCUUCUCUUAUUAGGGCAAUUCUGCAGGGUAUUAGGGACCUGCAACUUAACGUAGAGCUUCUAAAAUACACCAACAAACAGAACCAUGCUAGAAGAUCUUGGUACUGCUUCUAGUAGAAAAAACAAGCCUGCUUAUAGAAUCUAAACCUACAGAAAAUCAGUAUGAUUCCAAGAGAAGAGCUGAUUAGAAUGUGAAGCAGCUGUGUAGUGUCUUCAGGAAGCCAGUGGUGUUCACUUUCUGCUAAAGCUGCUGUGAAGUCAUCUAAACUGAUCAUCUAAACAAGCUGAAAUACAUUUUGGUGCUUGUGUUGGUGAAUGGAUGCGACCAUGACUUCAUGUUUUUCCUACAGCAUCCUUGUGAGACAGGAGAAAUUUGGGAGUACCAAAACAUUCAAUGCUUUUGCCUCUGAGAAGGGCUUUUCUAAAGAUGGCCUAUCCAUUUUAGGUUGGUAGUUUUGUUUUGUAGAACAAAAGCUGUAAUAGGAAGCUGACACUGAUGAGGCUGUUUUGGUGAGGUUUCCCUCUUGCCUCUAGCAUUUGGAGUUAUUGUAGUCAAAAGGAAUUACAGAAUUCAAAGGGAACAAAGUGCAACCUGUGUAUGGCACCUGUGCAACUUGUUGCAGUUAGUCAAAUGUUUUCUCACUGUUAGUGUUCUGUGGCUGAGACAAAUAUCUCCUCAUCCUUGUCCAGGGGCUGCUGUUCCCUCCUUGUGGCUGAGGAACCUUGCCUGAAGUCAUCUAGACCGAGGAGCAGCUGCUGAAAGGGCCCAGAUGCUCUUAGGGCUUCUGACACAUGAUGUCCCAUGAUACAAAGGAUGGGAGAAAGAAUGGGAUUCUCUAUUUGAGUCUUUUUCCUUGCUCCUUUCCUGCCUUUCUCAAGUGAUUUGAGAUCAUAUCAAGUGUUCAAGGGCUGGAUGGACUGAAGUAUGUUCUGUAGAGGAGUGUUGUGAAUGUGACCACAAUGUCUCAGCAUGCAGCUUUCAUGGUAAAGAAGUUCUGUCAGGGAAGGAUUAUUGCAGAGCUUGUAGUAGAGACCUUGGUCCUGUCAGCAUCCAUACUUAUUGGCACAAAUGAGAACUGUGUUUUUAUUGUUCAAUUGUUUCUCCAGCUUCCAACUCUGCAUCCCCAGUGAAUAUAUUUUUUUCAGUGAUGUUUUAUGGUCUGAAGUCAUUGAUAAACACAUGCAGGCAGUGGCUGGAGCCAUUGUGGCUGAGCCAUUGAGUCUACAGCUUUAUAGUCUUCUCAGGUUACUCGGAUGGUUGUACUCUUUUAAGUGAGCUAAACAGCAUGUGCUGCACUUGACAAAUGUUACUCAACCUAUGUUUAGAGAAGGAAUGGACUUUGGAAAAUUUUUCAGCUUUGGAAGGGGUUACUUCCAUCUGAAGGAUAUUGAGCAUCUCCUAUGAUUAGAGAAAAAAAUUGUUUGGAAAGCAUGUUUGCAUAUAGAAAGCUUUUUCCUGUAAUUUAAAUACAUUAAAAUUUAAACUGCUUUUAAAGCAAGAUCGUAUCAAGCUUUUGACCCCCUUGCAUUUGAUCUGCUCUGCUUAAACUAUUCACGUUUAGUAUGAUUAUUCAUUUGUAUAGUUUCAUUUUUGCAUAAUGAUUCUCUCAUCAUGUGCAGGUCAACAGGCUAUCAGAUAUUUGCUGUCUUGGUAUUUUCUGAUGUGUUGCCUUAGGGAUGAACAGAUGAGUAUAUAAAUUAAAUCAAACUAAAAGAUUGGGCAUAAGGAAGAAGUCUUUACGCUGGGGGCAAUGAGGCACUGCACAGGGUGCCCAGAGAGGUGGUGGUGCCCCAUCCCUGCAGACAGCCACGGUCAGGGAUGGGGCUGUGAGCACUGCUGGAGCUGUGGGUGUCCCUGUGCACUGCAGGCAGUGGGAACAGACAGCCUUUGGGGGUCCCUUCUGACUCCAACCAUUCUACGAUGCUCUUUUACCCCCUAUGUGAGGAGAGAAUGACAAUGCCUAUUUAUUUGGGUCACAUCUCAGAAAUACUUAUGCCAGCACUAAAGUGUAUAGUUGCUCUGUGGAGACCUAGAAUUAUGAUGUUUUGAAAUGCUAUGGGUUGUGACUGGUGGUGGAGACCCUACUGUUGUCAAACAAUUAUAAGCAGGCUUUGCAGACACUGUAUUGCUCUCACUGUGCUUCAUGUUAGGAGGAAGUAGCAGCAGCAUACAUUUAAACCAGUCCUAUUGCCAAGACAAUUUUUGUAAAUCAAGUAUAAAUUGGUUUCUGUCCUUAAAUUAGAAUAUUAGAAUCACAAAAUGGUUAGGAGGAUGUUGAAGAUCCCAGUUCCAACCCACCUGCCAUGGGAAGGGACACCUCCCACUAGACCACGCUGACCCCCAAGGCCUUGAGCACCUCCAGGGAUGGGACAUCCACAACUUCUCAGGGCAGCCUGUUCCCAUGCCUUGCCACCCUCAGCUCCAGCUGGUCUCCUUGAAUGGGAAUUGGUGAAGCUAGGAUGGCAUUGCUCCCUCUGUGAGCAGUAUGACAUACUGUUGCUAAUAAGGAUAUUGGUAGUGAAUAACUUUCUAGAUAAAGAUCUCUUUUGGACUAGGUUAUGCUGCCUGAGCAGCUGAAGUAUAUAUUUUAGCAGUUGUAUGGCCCAAGUGCUGCUGGAUCUUGAAAUCCAGUGAUUGUAAAGAUAUUCCAGAUAAAAUAGUACAUUCUUCAAAGCAAAACACAAACCAAAGUAGUACAUACUGGAGAUGAAUGCUGAUCAGUGUCCUAAGGCAGAAUUCUGAUGUGGGUAGUUUCCUAGGGAAGGUUGAGGAUAAAUAGUACAGAUCCUUUAUCUGCAUUAAGGGAAGGGUUUAGUGAAGGAAACUUCACUUUUUAAAUAGCAUUCUUGUCAGAAAAUGAGGCUCAUUAGAAUAAAGAGAAGAAUGAACUUAAAGGCCCUAAAGCAGUCACUGGGUGUAGAUCUGAACAGUUGGAGAAUACGCUGUAGCACUUUCUGUCCUCAGAGGCUUCUCUGCUCCAAGGAAAAGCCUGGGAGCUGUAUGAAAGAGGAAUUUAAUCUUGGUGUCGGCACAGUAAUGUGGCGUGUCCAUGCCCAAAUGCAGUUCUCCAUUUCUCAGUGCAGAGUAACGUAGAUAUCUUUCAAACCAAGCAACAUGUGAAUUCGUAUAACACCACAAACUCUGCUUGAGGGAGGGGGGAAUGUUUUAUUUACAUAAGCAAAAUGAGGCCAGUGCUAGAAGAAUGUAAUAAUUGGAGAAAAUCUCUAGAAAUGAAGUCACAUUUGCAUAAAUGUGGUGGAAGCUGGGGGUGACUGGUAGCAGUGAGCUAGGGGGCUUAUUGGAAGAGGAACAGAAUGGGUCAGAACUAAGCCCUAUGCUCUGCUUUGUUAUGGGUGAGUGUAUGCUGCCUAUUUAAAAGGAGUCAUAGAAUGGUUUGAGUUGGAAGGGACCCCUGUAGGAUUGUCUGGUCUCCCUGCCUGCAGUGCAUAGGGAUGCCCACAGCUCUAUCAGUGCUCACAGCCCUGAAGUAUGCCAUCAAUGAACUGCCUCUGUUCUGUCCUGAACACCAAUGCCUAUCACAGUGGAACAUCAUCUUGUGAUGGAUAAGGUUUGAGGAAUGGAAACAAAGCAAUAACGGUAUAGAAUGCUGAGGAAAUGGAGAUGAUAGGCUUGUAGUAGUGAUUAGUAUAUGGGGAAUAAGAAAUCGGAGGUGGCCUUCUGCAGCAGAGCUGUGCCUUGGCGGCUUCUUCUGAGCCUUGUUUGGUACUCUGAGUUAACAUCAGGUAAGAGAUGGAGCUGUUGGUGCUCUUGAAAAGCUCUCUGAACUUGCGUGCGUUGUUUCUGAUCAGCUUUCUACACAGGUCAGCAAACACUAUCUCUUCAAACUUAUCCUUAAUUUUUGCCUUUCUAAAAGGGUUAUUAGAGUGUGUCUGGGUGAGGAACAGCAAACCUGACACGAGAGCAGUAUGCAGGGCUGAAUUCUGUCAUAUGAGCCAAGAACAUGACUUCCUAAAUAAAGGUUCUGCCCAUAUGUGUGUGUUACACUGUCUGUUUGGAUUGUGGGAGUAUUGCAGCCUUAGGUUUCUUCUGAUUGUGACAUGGUGUGAAAAUAAAGCUUACAUUAAUAAAUCAAAACUAAAUCCCUCCAGAUGACUUGUCUGGCCAUCUGCACUGGUGUGGGAGAACUGGAGAAGAUGGAAAUUUGGACUAUUUGAAUAAUCUGCUUCUAAAAUACACUUAAAAGUGAACUAUAAAAAGGAAAAGAGCCCAUGUUGGAUGGCUUUCUCGAAUGGAUCUGUGGUGGAUGUCUUUGCCUUAACUUAAAUAGAAAAACCAUUAGAGUUGUGUUGUGCAGUAAUAAUUAUAGAGUAGUGGAUGCUAUGAUGUGUGAAGGGAUGUUCUCAUCCAGCACUUAUGUUUGCAGGGUGGAUAAAUAGUGGGUUUCUGCCUCUCUUCCUUCAGAGCCACAGUGUUGAAUAUUCAUCAAACUUGUGUAGAUGAUCUGAAAUAAGAUUUGUCUCUGUAUGAUGGCAGUCUGUAUCAUUCCCCACUGAGUGAGUAGGCAACUUAAAUGGCUUAUUUCUCCUGUUGAUGACUUUCAGCACGUGUGGGUAUUCCUGUGUAGAGCAAUCUGUUUACUUGAGGGGAUCCAACUCUGGAUAUGAGGUGUAUGAGAGCAGAUGAGUAUAUCUGGGGAGCACCUUCAAGGAGUCAGGUGUCUUAUGCUUCAUUUAAACUCAUGGAUCUCCAGGAGGAUAUUUGCAAGUGUUUCCUGUGAUGAGUGGAGUAGAAAUCAGGAGAGGGAAAAAAAAUGAUAAACCUGUAGUUCAGAAUCCUUCGUAUAAUUGAUCUUUGUGUUUGAAGGGAGAAGCUCUGGUUUGUUUUGAAAGAAGGGUGUACCUGAUACAAGCUAAGUUGCCUUUGUUUUAUCUGGACAUAAGUGUGUAGUGAGAGAACCAAGGAGAGGAGAAAUUUCUUGCCUGUGAUGCUCCCUAAUGGUGUUUUUAGUGUUGUCUUAUUUCUGGUCCUUUGUUUUGGAGGAGGUCUUAAAGGCCACCAAAAUGAAAUGCCAAGGUGUUCUGGAACCUUGGUGCUCUUGCCAACCCUGCGCGUGUUGCUUGCAAAAUAACUACAGCUAUCCUUCAUGAUUAGUUCAUAGAUGGAGUAUUUGCAAUGUUCCAGUAUUUCAUGUACAGGUUGGAUUCACAACAAGCUGCACACAGACUAGAGUUGGUGCUCUUUUUUUAUAUUAAGUUACCUUGCAGUUAUUGAUUAAAACUAAUUAGUACUGCUUUGGAAAAUCAGUUUGGUGCCUUUCUUAAAGGUUUAAAGUCAAACCAAGGAGUCUGACAAAGAAUUAGAGCUGAGAUGAAGCAGAUCCAAAAGUUAGCUAUUUAGCAUGCAUGCCACAAAGUUACAGUGGGAUUGACUUCUUGCUCCAGUGUUGCAUAUAGAAGGGAUCUCCUGCGUACAUAAUCAUCAGUGCACCAGUCUGUUAGCAUAGACCUCUGCCUUCUGGUAGUUUUGUAGCAGAUAACAUAGGUUUAUAUGCUUAAAGUUUGUCAGCAAGUUUCAUUUUAUUGCGGAUCUUGCAAUGUGAAGUGUUUGACUUUCCUCUUCCCCAACCAGUUUGCCCAAACCAAGCUUCUGAAAUGGUAAUGUGAGCUUUUCAGCUGCUGCUUGGAUUGAAGACGUUUCUAGAAUGAAAUUGUUGGCCAAGUCAGAGCUUCAUUUUCCCACAACUAAGUAUUGAAGUGAUCUUUUAAAUCUCAAACUAUGACCUAAUGGCUUUUUGGGGACCCAGCUCAUCCUCUUCCCUGGGUAACCUGCACAGAACACUUUCCUCAGGGUGUUAUUCCUAUGUGCCCCCAUAGUAACUAAUCCAUUUGUAAAAGCUGUUGGUGUGAACUUCUUACUGCUUCCAGGUAAUGGUGAUCUCUUGUUAACCUGUCAAAUGGCUUUGAUUCUGUCCUAUUUGCUAGUUCAGCACUGGUGAGGCUUGGAGUGUGAGAAUCCCCUUUCAGCUCUGUGUUUGACAUUCAGCCUCAGACAUUACUGUGUGACAUCCACACUUCCUCUGGCUGAUGUUCUUCUGUAUCUGUCCUAGCCCCAAAUACUAGGAAUGCUCUUCAGCCAAUUUCAUAUUUGUGUAGAAUUGUCUGACAUGUAACUUUCCAACCCACAGUCAAGUAAGGAGGAGGUCUUACAGGCAGAAACUUCUAACCCUUACUUGUCAUAAAUGAAUUUGCAGCUUUUAUGCUAAUAUGCCUCUCAUUGUUUAUACCUUAGUGUGAGGGAGAAAUAGAAUGAUGAGAAGUACAGAACUGGCAGUUAAAUAACAAUGCUGCUUUGGCUUCAGGAAUUGCAACUGAUAUAUGCACGGCUGAAGUUUGAAGGCUAGCAUGUUUAUGAUAGACUUGGUCAUUGCAUUUGCUUAUUAAGAAUUCAGCAUGAGACCCCUUUCUUGCUGGACAGGUGGAAACAUCUGAAGAACUGUCUUCUCAUUUCCUCCCCUACUUCACAGUCAUUCUCUAUGUGCAAGAAUGGUGGAGCUGUGACUUUGCUCGACAUCAUGUGUAAGUCUUGAGUCUUUGCAUCAGGGUUUAGGAGCUUAACUCUUUGUCCUUUUCCCCUUGAAUCUCUCCAAUACCUUUUGAAAGAUCUUUCACUGCCAUACAGACUGUAAAUGCUAUGUUGCAUCAUAUAUAGAAUCCACUUGGAUUGUAACGUCAAACCUGUGGAUGGACCUGUGCGUAGCAUUUCAGUUGAUUUAAGGUGAAGUAUGCCCAACCAUAUGAUGAAAUAGGGGGAAAAGGGUGCUGUGAAGUAGAAGAGGAAACUGCUCAGCUGACAGCUAGUGAAUGCAGACCUGGAAUACAAAGCCAUACCUAUGCAGGAAAGGAUGUUUCUGGCAGAAACUCUGUAAUUCUAUACCUUUGUGAGGAACAAGAGUGGCAGUGUCUCACCUGCAGGCACACUCCACAGUGAAAAGGAGAGAGGCUGAAAAAUGGCUGCAUCACAUAUAUUUACCUCUGUAGCACUUGGCAAUAAGGAGUCAGAGGGGCUUUGACAAACUGAGAGCGAGUCCUUAGGUCUGAUGGUUAGAGGCUGUCUGUUUUCAGACUUUCCUUGUUCUACACCAAUUUAUCUGUUGUAGAGCUAGAGAUGUCUGUGCUUAGUAUGGAAACGUGGCUCAAGGUGUUCCUUGGCAAUUGUCUCUGCUUCUACCCACAGAGAGGGGAAUUUGAAGAUGUCCUCUGAAUUCAUAAGACAUGAGAACCUCCAUGGAGAGCAGUGCCUGCUCACCAUCUCUCCUCUGCAGUUGCCUGAACCAGAUCCUGAGGUGUUACAGAAGACUAGCACAGAAAUCAAGGAGACAGCUAAUGGGCUGAAUGUUUAAGAUUCUUAAUAGCUUUGGGAACAGCUUUCCUGACUUUGCUGCCAGUCAGAAAAUGUCGGUCUGGGACAAAGGCACUCAACUAUACUUCAUUCCUCAGCACACCCAAGGUGUGUACAGCUAAUGUGCACACACCCCUUGGUGUUUUAUUGCUUUCCACAUGUGUACCCCUGACUUCUCCAGCAAUUGUUCUGUCCUGCUCUUAAGAGCUUGGGAACUGGGCUCCAACACGGUGAGGCUGCUGUAAAGAAAGAGGGGUAAGGGAGACAUUGUUAUACCAUCAGGCAGAAGACAGUGUGGGAAGCUAACUGGUAUGCUCUCUAACUUAGACAAGUUCUGAACAACUAGUAAGAAUGUUUGUAGUACUCCUGGGGGUGAACAGCAUUGCAUCUGGGUGAUGAGAAACAAAUACUGUGUGCUGAUCACUACUCCACCUCAUCCAUGCAGGUGGUGCAGCCUCACAGUGCACCAGCAGGGCUUGUGCUAUAGCAUGGGGUUCUUGUGUCACCUUAAGAGGAAAGAUUUGUCUUCUGUAUAAAUAUGCAGCACAAUCCGAAUGAACUCCUUUACCACACCACAGCUAUGGGAAAAGCUAUGCUUUGGUUUGCCUGUAGCACUGUGCAGAUAUUCAAGUCAACCAAGCGCCAGAACAAAAAGCUGGGUAGAAUAGAAAUCUCACAGGAAGAGUGGUGUGGAUAUCCUCAUAAGCCAGAGUUUUGCAUGUAGUAGACAACCUCUGUUUCUUAACCAAACAAAAUCAGGUUUGGAUCUUGCAAAUCUUAAUAGGUUUUGCAGAUUCUUUAACUGAGAUGCAUGAAUGUAUGCACUAAUGUCAUGCAGAGCAAAGUGGCUUGUUUGAGACCAGAGUUUACUCAUCACCUAAUCUCAUGAAGAUGAGUCCCCCUCUGUGGGUCUGUGUGUGGAUGGAAGAGCAGUUCCAAGUGUUGGUAUGCUAAUGGCUGUGGACCACCUUGGCCUGAAUCAAUCAAAACCCAAGGGCUCACAAGUAGAGGGCUGUGAUACAACUGUGGUGUGUUCCACAUAGUGGGGAAAUAAUUGCAAAGCAUGGAAACUCAGACUUCAAGAGCAACCUCAAACACAAGAAAGCAUUCUACUGAUUGCAUCUUCCAUUAGGAGGACACUAGAUGAUGCUCCUCUUAUCUUUCCAGUUGCCUGGAUGCCUUUAUGGUGGGAAGCAGCUUUAAUAUUUUCUGCAGUUAUUUGAGGUUUCUUUGUAACAAAAGCCCACCCUCCUGCUUCUUGCUAUAAUGAAUGGGAAGCCAAGGGGUCAUUUCAUCUACUGGUAUUUGUACCAAAGUACUGAAUGUUGGGUCCUUGGAGGGUCCAAUCUGAGAGGGUAUUUGGGUAUUUAUAGCUGAUUGUAUACAUGAGUGGGAGUAAUGGUGUCUUGCAGCCAUUUAAGCUGAAUUCUGAUGUGUUAGAGAAACAAUCUCUGUAACUAUCAUACUUAAGUUUUUCUACUUCUCCUCAUCAAAGCAAGAAAGAGGAAAAAAUGAGAGGAAAAGUGACACACCAGUAGUUGCCAUUUGAGUUGUUAACCUAACACAUUAUAUUUUAGACUCCUGGUACCUCUUUCUUUUCUUUACACAUCCUCUACGGAGCAUGUAGCUUACUGGUUACUGAAGGGUUAAAUCAUCUUGCUUUUGGAAGCAGCUGGGCAGUUUACACUCCUUGCUGGGCUGUACAAAAAUACUUUUCCUUUGAAGUGCUGGGAGGAGCGGCUAAGGGUAAAACCUGGAAUGGGGUUGCAGUAGCAGUUUGUAGUGGGCUUAGCUGUAACAGGCAGCUGUGCCUGCAACUGCUGCGUGAGAUGGCAGGGAAGGUCAGGGCUGCUUUCUCUCCUGCCUUUACAGCCUCAGUGGGAAGACUUUCUUUUUGAAAUUCUUUAAAUGCUAUUGUUGGAAAAUUCUUGGAUUGGGACAGGUUGCGAGAACUAUAGAUUUAAAAAUAUCCCUUCCCAUAAAGACGGGACAAAUACAGGGCCCCUGUUGAAUGCUCCUUGGCUGCCUGAGAUUUGAUCUGGUAGUGAAAUACAAACUGCUGCUGUUUGUGGUGAGAAAGAUUCACCUCCACUGAGUGGUGGCAAGGGGGUCAAACUCCUUUGCAUAAAGUACGUGCUAGAAAAGAGCUCUCAGGGGUCUCGUCUGCAAAUUUGCUUGAACCUGGAAAGUCUCCUUCCUGAUGCCACGUAUGGGACAUGAUGAACUCACUCCAGCAGUGGAACUACUGAUGGGAUGGGAGUUCUGCAACCAGGCUGGAUAGAAGUCACUGUGCUUCCUAUUGUACAGCACUCCUCUGAAGCCUCCUGUUGCAUACAGCAUACUACUGUGAAUGAAAUUGCCUGAUAUGGCUCAAAGCAAGUGUUUUCAUAGAUGAAAUCUGAUGUGAGAUGACUCCAGUGCACUUGCCAGCAGUGAAACUAGGCAAAAUGUAGUGACUCUGGUUUUUGGGGUAGCACUUGGCACACUGGUAAACGGUUAUGGAAAAUAUUUGUAUGCUGUUUUUGGGGAAGGUUUGAAUCUGAGGGAGAUAAUUGACACCAUUAUAUUAAGCUGUGGAAAAUAAACUUCCCUUUAGUGAUUGCUGCCAAUAAAGGUGAUUAAGAGCAGUUUACCCACCAGCUAAUAAGAAGGUGACAUUAUAAUGCCUGACUUUGUUCUGUGUUGGGAAACCUUCAGCCUGCUUUUCCCUUCAGGAAAAAGCUUUCUUUUCAUUAGUUCUAAAUCAGCAGUUUAUCAAAUGUUGGCCUACUUCAGGCACUGAGGGGAAUUCUUUGCUGUCUUUGAGCACUUUUGGGGAGAGGUGGGGGGGGGGGGCAAAGGAGAGAAAGUUGUAUUACAUUUACUCCCUAUCUGAAUUUCUUUAACUAUUCCCUGCCCUCGUGUAAGUGAGUUUGUAAGCUGUGUGUACGCAUUGCCUACCAUCAUGAGAUGAUGCUUUGGCUCUGUUCCUGAUGGGCAGGUGAUAGUGCUACAUGUCGCAUCUCUGAAUUACUACUUGGAUUUCUCAACUGCCCUUAAUCCUGUCCCUUAUUAUUCACUCAUAAGGGUCUGACAGUUGGCUGUUAUUAGUGUCACCCUGUUUAUUUCCUGCUGCUCUUUAGCUUCCUACAUCUACCUUUCUUAAUGAAUGCAGAAAGCAUCAAGAAUUGAGUAGCAAAAAGCUGAAUAUUUGUGGAGCCUUUCUAUUCUCCUGAGUUAUGUGAAGGGUUCUGUCCUUGAAAUAUUUAUUAAUACCUGUAGUACCUUGCUUUGCCAUUUAACUACUCAAAUUCUAGGGUAAAUACAUAGUAAUAUAGGCCUAAGAAUCUCAGAAGAGGUGAUCUGGAAUCAUCCCAGAGCUGUCUCUCAAUCUUCACUGAUAAAUGCUGAACAUCCUUAUUUUCUGGGAAGGUAUGGGUCAGUGCCAUGGCAGAAGUGAAAGCAAAUGGUCCCAGAACAGGAUUUUGAGGGUAUUGUAUUUUAUCAGACCAAUGCUAUAUGUAAAUCUCUGGUUGGGACAAGGAGUUAGUUGCCUAGAUUCUCUUUUGUGUUGACUGUGUGGGUUGUCUUAGCCGGCAUUGCAUAGGCAAGAAUUAAAACCUCUAUUCCAUUUAGCAUGUUGUUGAUUUGUGACCAUCAGGAUGCUUUGAUUUGAUGCCAAGGAUGGCUCCUACUUAUUUAUUACAAGAGAGAAGUUGGUCACUCUUCAUAUUAUUAUUAUUAUUAAAUAUCCUUUUAACUACAUGGAGUGUAGAGAAGCAAGAAUGCAUGGCUGGUUUAGUGACUUUGCUGUGCGUAGCUGAAAGACUAAUGCAUUAUUGUCACACCACUUCCUAACAGUAGGAAAACUGUAGUCUGCCCCAAUGUUGUUACAGUGGCAUACAUGCAUUGACUGUGUUUUUUGUCUGCCCCUCUGGGCCACAGGGGUGCACAUGCUGUUUCAGUGUGGUAACAAAGCUGCUCUUGGGCAGGAAUGGGUGCUCCUGCAUUGCCCAAAACUGUGCAGGCAAAGCAGAUAUUAUCAGUGCUGGCCCUGGGGCAUAAAAUAGAAAGAUCAAAGCGCAUGGCAGCAGCACACAGAGGCUCUUCAAAGCCUGAGUAAGGCAGGAUUGAUAGAGAAUGAGAAAGCUCUUGCUGAUGUAAUCACAGCCUGUGAGACAGGUUGUGUUGUGCUUUUUUUUUUCUAAUUUAAACAAAGACACAAAGAGGGUCCUUGUUUGUUUAGAGAGGUGAAGCGUGUGCCACAGAUGUAGGGCACGGAUACCUGAGUAUUUAGAAGCUGGCCGUGGGUAGCAUGGAGCCCAGGCUUUUGGAAAUAACUGCAAACUCACAGCUUUGCUUUUUAUUGUGUGCAGCUCCUGCAUGUGGUGUUCUCCCACUUGUGGUGUCCAUGUGGGAUCAAAUAGGAGAAUGGUAACAGGAGGAAUGCUCGUGUUCAGACUGCCUUCAUUAUUAGAAUGGAAACUAUUUUGUUUUCUCUCAAACUCCCCAUUAAAACGCUUUUGGAUUUCUUUUUAAAAGAGCACAGGCAAGGUGGAAUCGGGGAAAGUGAUAAGCCUGGUUCCAUGUCAAGCAGCACAGGCUUGUCCAGGCACAAACUAUGAGGGAGGAAGAAAGUUUGCUCCCCCUUUGUUUAUGCUGAAAGGAGGAAGGAGAGGUGUGACUUCACUGGAGCAGAUGGGUAGGGAUGGAAGGUGUUCCCCAUUUGCUCCUCUGCGAACUUCAAUUCUCUUUAUAUGCUGUGGCUGCAGAAGUGCCACAGUGCUGUUUCUGAACUUCCAUUUGGAUUGUAAAGGUGAAGGAUAGAAAAUGGCUUUACAAAGGGGAUCUUGUGAAAUUGUGACCUAGAGCAUGAUAGCGUGGCUCUUCCACCCAAAGAUAUCUGUACAGUGUAUGGUGGAUGAUGAGCAGUGCAGUCUGACAUGCAAAGACUUGGUGGGCAUGACACAAUGGGCACGUAUUACCAGAAACACAACCUAUAUUAGCUGGUAUAGCUACAUUGAUUUCUUGUAAAGGUUUGAAACUCAGGCAAAACGAGCUCACCUGCUUGGAGAGUGGGUAAAGCCUCCAUGCAUGUGUCUGCUCUUGGUAUAGACUGUGUGUGUGUGUGAACUGCCUGAACACGUCCCAUGGGAGGGACAGCUGUUCUUGUUGGUUUCUGGAGACCUGUUAAAAAUUCUGAAACCGAAAACUCGUUUCACCAUUCUGCAUUGUUUUGCAUACUGAUUGUUUUAGAAGAAAGAUCUAAUGGUAUUAUCUUGGUCCCAAAACUUAUUGCAAGAUGCUGGAAACCACAGUGAUUAUUUCUAGUUGGCAGAACCUCCAGCUUUCCUUCCCCUGUGGCCAUGAGAUUAUUUACAGUGCAAUUCAGAUUAGUGCCCAAAAUUGUGGCACUCUUAAGUCUGAAAAUCUAUCAUGGUGGAAAGGAGGGCUGUUAAUGUUUCUUUCCAGGGUCAAAGCUAUGUUUAUAGUCUGCUAAAUCAGUUUACUAUCUUAAUAACGAGGCCUGGCUCACAUUGAUGCAUCUUCACUGUGAAGUAUCUGAGAUGAUAGUGGUGUUCCUGGUGUUCUCCUAUGGAAGUCUCUCCAUUUUGCUGCCCAAUGCUGAAACUUCUUCCCCUCCUUCCAUUGAACCUUCUCUUCUGCUAUGCUCUUCCACAGAUGUCUGUUUGAUACCUGACACUAGCAAAGGAACUUCAAUACAAUUGAAAUACACUACUUUGGUUUCCAGUUACCAAACCUUCAGGCACCAGGAAAUCUGUGCAUCUUCUAGAGCUCUGAGAUGGGCUCUGACAUGCACUCAAUGCUGCAGGCACUUCCCCUCAUGAUGCAGAGAGGCUUGAGAGAAGUUCUGGGAUGGGAAUUCUAGCAGUUACUGUGACUUUCUAGGAACUCAUGUAUCCACUUAAAAAGAAAAAUAUUUCCUUCUGGGGAAUCCCAAUGAGAUUCUCACUCUGUGCUGGUAUGGCCUCACCUUGAGUACUGUGUGCAGUUUUGGGCACCACAGUGUAAGAAAGGUGUAAGACUUCAGAGUGUCCAAAGAGGACAACGAAGAUAGGGGUCUGGAGGGCAAGAUGGAUGUGGCUGUGGUCCUUCAGUUUGUUCUUCCUGGAGUAGAGAUGGCUGAGGGGAGGCCUCACAGGGAGUGAGGGAAGUGCUGAGCUCUGGUGACUGACAGGGCUCAAGGGAAUGGCAUGGAGUUGGGUCAGGUGGGGGUUAAGGAAAGGAUCCCCUCCAGAGGGCAGUGGGCACAGCCAUGAGCUGCCAGAGCUCAAGAAGCAUUGGGACACUGCUCUCAAAUAUAGGGUUUGGGCAGUCCUGUGUGGGGCAGUGGGUUGGACUCAAUCAUCCUUGUGGGUCAUUCCCAACUCAGGACAUCCUGUGAUUCUAAGAGGUUGUGGUGAUCUGGUCUGUUGAAAUAGAGAAGAGUUGGUAAAACAGAAGUUUUUCUACCUGUAGGAGAAAAUGCAUCGCAGUGUACAAGCAUUAUUAUGGCAUCCCCAUGGUUUUGCUUUUAGAGAGCAAUAGGAUGAAAACAAGAUAUGUUAGCUGAUUCCUGUGUGCUCCACUGAGUUUGGUCUCCCACUUCUGUCAGCAGUAUCUGUGGCCUUUUGAUUCAUGCAGCCACAUGAAUUAACACAACUGCCAUACCAAGUUAGCCUAAAAAUUAAUCUGCUCCAGUGACUUUCUCAGGCAGAAUCUAGUUGUGGAUACUCAAUAAAAGAAUAUAAGAUUAAAGGAAGCACAUAGGGAGAAUUCUGCAGCAUAUGCUUCCAGGCUCUACUGGCUUGUACCUUAGGACUUCCUAGUAGCAUCAGCUAAUACAUACAAGCACUAGAUGGCUAUUUCAUCCACACUUUUUUCCACAGUGUUUCAUGCAUUGCUUAUCUGACUUUGAGGCAGCGAGAUCCUGCUUUUGAGAGCCUUUUCAACCAUUUCAUGCUAUGACAUCAUGUAUUUUUGAAAAGUAAAGGAGUCUGAGUUGGUGCAUUGCAGUGUAGGAGGCCUAGAACAGCAGCUUAGUUAGCACCUAGUUAAACUGCUCACUAACACGAAUGGAAGGAAGAGGACUAGAUUUCCAGAAUUGUCUCAUUCUUACUGGUCAGUGCAAGUUUCAUAGGUUUCUUUUUUUGAGCUACAGAUGAAAAUGUGUUGCCAGGAAGUCGUUGUUCUUUCUGUCUUUCUAAUUCUGUGCAGCAGCUGCAUCGUCUUUAGCUGCUAUUAAUGUUCAGAGCUCUUUGAACAAGGGAGUGUUAGGCUGAUGUAAAAUCUUCCUCUGCAAGACAUUCCCUGUGAAGCAUCUCUUGUCUCGAUGGCCCUAUUGUAACCAUGCCUGUAUUUGUGAAUGAACAGGAAGCGGUUGAUGAUAGUGAGCAGAUGAGUUUGAUCUGCAACAGGUUUUACUCAGACUUCCACUUGAGGGAGUUAAUGUAGGAGCUGAGCUGUACCACUGUCAACUGCAGUCUGAUCAUUUACGCUUCCUUUGUUUGAAGAAGCUGGAAGAAUGUAUUGAUGAGAGAGAAGAUGUGCUAAACUUCUCUAGAUUUUAAUUGAGAUAUGACACUGUAGAUAGAAAUUUUGUUAGUCACUCCAUUCUGAAGUAAUGAGCUCAGUCAUGUUUGAUUACAGAUCACAUUCUGUCACUUGUUGUCCUGUUUGUGUCUAAACAGAUUCAUGCACAUCCAAAAAAUACUAUGGGAGGUAACUUAAUGGUACCUCAUGUAGCAGUGAUCAGUGGAUAGGAAGAGGGAGGACUUCUUUCCAACAGCUCUCCUCCCAUGCAUGUACUUUAAAGCCUAUUACUUUAGGCUGAUGAAACACAUCCUUAAAGCCUGCCAUGAACAGCAUUAAACGUUGUGGAGGUCUUGUCCUUACUCUUCUCAAUUGGCAGUGUAGAAAGUGGAGUUAUCAGCCAAGUAGCAGCAUAUAUGUAUCCACGGUGCACAAUAUUAAGUUCCAGCACAGCAAGCUAAUUUAGAAAGUUUAUUUAUUGAAAGAUGAUGUGAUCUUGCACAGGAAGCUUUUGUUAGUCUGAGUGUGUGAAAUAGCAAGCUGGAUGCUUGUACUGGAGCUAACAAGAAAGGAUGGUGGGAGUAAAGGGCUCAUGCCUUAACACUGAAAAACCUCACGCUCCUGGGCCUGGAACUGCACCCAAUUCUGGCAGUAAGAGCUAUGGAUUUGAAGUCAAGUACUAAACUAACGUAGUAUAGUUCUAGAGUAAAAUUUCAUGAUGGUGUUGGAAUCAUUAGGUAAGGAGCAGAGUGAAAUGAAAUCUCAUGGGUACUUCCAGCCUCCAAGUGCCUGCAUGUUGCGUGCUGCUCAAGUCAGUGCAUCCUAAAAUUGGAAUGGAAGACUUUUUAUUAAAAAAGCUGGCAAAUCACACCUUAUGACUUGCCUUAUGAUGCAAGGUAAGACUUUAAAUGAGGUCUGAUGUAGAGAUGGUGACUAAGGAGCAAUUAUUGGCUAUUCCUUACAAUAUGUGGGGAUUUCCAGAGUAUAGUGAGUGAAAUUCAUGAACCAGCCUUGGCAUUAGUAAAAUCAUGUGUAAUUCUAACAUGGCAAGCUGUGUUACUGUGGGAUGGUGUUAAACUAAAAGCAUGAGUGUUGUCCAAAAUAAAUUAGGCAAAAUUAUGGAACAUGAAUGUAUUGCUCAGUACUAAACCCAAUGCUCUUGGUGAGGUCUUAGUGCUGGAAAUCUGUUAGUCAUCGGUAGCCUUAAUUAAGAACCAUCAAUUUUGCCUUUUUUCUAGACUAAUGCAGUUGGUCAUUGUUGGAGGUAGGAUGCUUUGGUUGGCUAUUUGGGCACACCCUCCAUGGUUGCUUUUAUAACUUCCCUAAGUUUGCAUAGGAGCUCUGUGGCAGAGGAAGCAAUCAAGCCUCUUGGGAAGCAUUCAGCUGCUUUAACCACAACAUAGUGUUUUCUUUUCCCAUAGUAACUUACCUCAUUUGCUGCAUACUGUCCAGUUCUUGUAAUGUGUGAGGGAAACAUCCUACAGACAGGACUCGUUCACCCUACAGUGCUGCAUGACUGGAGUAGAGUUUACACCAUUGAUUUCCCAUUCAGUGAGGAAUACCUCAGUGGUGAGGAGUGCCAACAAUUGAUGCACAGCACUAAACACAGUCCAGUAAGCUCUACUGGGCUUGUUAGAGUGGGCCAUAUGCCAGUGCUACAGGAGUUGGCUUAAAAGAAGGGUUGUGUGGAAGAGAGGAAAUUAAGGGGUAGUCUGAAAGAGAUUAGUCCCCCAUUAAUGGCCACUGGGAGAAGGAAUCUAGCAAGAGAUGGGGAAGGAAGGAAAAUUGCAGCUAGCCUGGUUGUUUGCUCUGCAAAAUGGAUCAAAUUGAGGUUAAGAGGAAAGUUUCAUGAUCAGAUAAAUGGCGAUGUUUGCAGUGAGUAUUUCAGCAGUUGGCUAUGUUAGAAUUAAGAACAGCUUAUUCCAAAGUUAUUCUUCCUUGCUUCCUACUACAGAACGUUCUUCAGAAGUGGGUUAACAUAGAGCUAAUCUCAUUCAAAAUGGUUGCCAGUUGGAACAAAAGGACUGAAGCCACAGGCUGCCAUCAGGUGGCUGUUCUUAAGAAGGGCAUUUUUCUUCCUGCAGAUUGAAAUGCUUCUUCCUGUGUGGUGACAUAGAAGGUCUCAGUGUUCUCUAAAUUCUUAUGUGAUACCCUGAAAACAGUGCAGUUAUUCAUGAUUUUAUCUGAAUUGGAGAAGCCAGUGCAGCAGGUAUUUUUGUGUGCAGGAAAAUAGUACUAUUGAUCUGGAAGCUGUUUUCAGGAACAGCUCUUUGUACCAUGUUUAUGUGCCAUAACACUGAGCACUUUUCCUUUUUCCCCCCAAGUAUUCCACUUCUUUCUGUGUAGGGACUCAUUUUCCCUCUGCUGUGAAUGGGGAAGUUAAGCAAAAGGAAGGAAUGCUUUUUUAUGUAGUCUGACAGGGAAAUGACUAAUCUGGAGCAGUAAUCCAGUUACCUCCAUCUUCUGUUAGGAUUAGAUCCAGUGAGUAGGCCUAUCUGUUCUUCCUAUCAUAGAACAAAGGCAAAUCUCUUCCUUUUCCUACACCUGAGCCUCCUCAAGUAAUUAUAGCAGAGGCUUUUACUUCAUCUCUACUUCCAUUUUUAAGUAGGUCAGGGAGAUUAUGUUGGUAUCAAUGAUGGCAUUGGAUCUGACUAAACAACUGUAUUUAAAGCUAGAUGCAAUGGCUUCAAACUAAAAGAGGAGACAUUAGAUAUAAGGAGGUCCUUACCCUGAGGGCAGUGAGGUGCUGGCACAGGGUGCCCAGGGAGGUGAUGGGAUUUGCAAUAGAUGGGGUCUGAAGAGGCCUGGGUGGUCAUUUGUAGCAGGGGAGUGAAGGAAGACUUGACUGGAUGUAGUGCGAAUAGCUUUAUAUUGAGAGGAGUAAAUGAGGUUUCUUAAAAGUAAUGCAAUGUAAUCUGUUUGAGGUAUAAAACUGAGUAAAUAGGCAAUGUUGAAAAGCCCAAAUAUUAAACUUGUUUUCAAUCUCUUAAAACCCUCCAGUGGUGACAGACUAUUGGGUACUGAAUUUGUCUGCUGACAACAGGCUUUUUUUUCCAGUCAGCAUUUACAUGUCACUUCUUGAUAGAGACAACACUGUACUAAUUUAAAGUGCCUUCUGAUGGUGGAAGGCAUUGGUAUCUUUGAUGUAUGGGAACUUAGGAUGGCUUCUUCUGAGACCCAGGCUGAAGGAACUUAUUUUACCUACAGAUUGUAUGGUUUAUAGGAUCUCAAAAGAGCAUUUGUGUUCUUCACAAUGAAGGUGGUCAAACAUUAGAGCAGGCUGCCCGGGGAAGUGGUGAAGUCCCAUGUCUGGAGGUAUUUAAGGAGGACAUGGAUGUGGCAUUCAGGGAUGUGGUUCAGUGAGGGGACUCUUUCAUCAGGUUGAUGGCUGUGCUUGAUAAUCUUGAAGAUCUUUUUCAACUUCAAUGUGAUCUGAAGCUUAAUUCAUGGGCUGACCGAAGAGAUAGGGUGCAUCUGUAGGGAAUUAACAGUUGUGUUUUUGAGAGCUUUUCCAUGUCGACUAACAGAGGUGCAGCUAUAAUAUCUUCUGCUUCCUGGGUGGUUCUACCAGACUGAUUACCACAGUGAUCAAAGUCAAGAACUUACUAAAUACUAAAACUUUCAUUUCCAUUCACUUCUGUGUUGGACACCUGAGUAUUUGUUCAGACCAUGUAACUCUGCCAUGGGUAUUUUCACUCAAGCUACUGUUGUUUGUUGAUGCCAACCAAAACUUCAUGUUGCUCUGUCUAAAAUGUGUAGUGUAGAAGACUCUGUCCUUCAGCAAGUGUCAUCUGCUUCUGUGUUUUGAGAGGGAUUCUGGGAAUGAAUUGGGAGGUAAAUACCAUGGAAUUAUUUUCUAUCCAACAUGCUUUGGCUAAUAUUUGAAGACAGUUCUUUACUGUGGGACACUGUGCCAAGCUCAAACCAAAGAUAUGUUCUCAUUUUCUGUGAGAAGUAAUGUAACUGCAGCUGGCUGUAUGUCCUCUGCUGUACCUUCUCCUUGUUCCACUUCUAAUCAGUGAACUGAAGUCUUAAUGUUGAAUUGAACAGAAAGUCCACCCUAUGCACUGCUGUCUGCCUGCUUCUCCCUUCUGCUGCUGUUAAUCAACAGGAUGUGUCCUGAUGAGUCUAAACAGCAUUUCAGCUAUCUGAAAUGCAAAACAGGGUGGAUAGACGGAUGCAAACAUCAUCCUCUUUCUCUUUUGUGCUUUCCCUGUUGCAAAGAGCAAGGCUACCCAUUUGAUACUUCUGGCUAGAGCAGCUCCAGUACUGUCCUCCAUCUCUGAAUUUCAUUGCAGCCCCAGGGGAAGCUGCACCUCUGUGGCUCUCUGGCAGCUGCUGGACUUUGAUGGGGACAUGCCUGCACUCUUUCCACUGGCCUCCCUUGGCAACCAGCCCUUUGAAGAUGACCUCUUGCUGUUUGCCUGUUGUCUCUCAUGUGUUGGAUUAUAGAUGAGAGGUUGGCAUGAGGGGUGGGGGAUGGGAUGGGGUGUUGUGCGUUUUAAGCCUCUUUUGUUUCUGCAUUCUCAACCUUUUUUUUUCCUCUGUGGCUUUUACCUCUGUAUAUGGCUAAAAUGUUGCCAUGCAUACAGAAAGCGGCUUCUGGCAGAAACGCGUGGAUCCUGCUUGGUGUUUGUGCAUAAGACAAAGGGAGUUUGAGUUUUGUGAUGAGGACAGUGCAUUCUUCCUGUAAGAAUCUAUUCCUAUAAGCUCCUUUCCUCACACACCCCAUUUUUAAGGACAGUGCUUCUUAAUUGUAAAGCAGCCUUUCUGUGUCUACAUGUUCUGUGCUCCUCUUCCCUCCCUCCAGCCACAGUGAAUGCAUUCUGUCAGUGACAGUGCAAAUAUAUCACCUUCUUAAUGGAGGUUAUGGUCUAAAAUGGAAAGAGACUGGAGCCCUGUGACUGUGCUGCAUUUCAGACAGUGCCAACUUCUGGAAGUCCAAACAACUGAACACUGCUAAAUACUGACCAAAUCCUUCAUUGGAGUGGAAGGAGGACUGAAGGAUAAGAAGUAUUGUGGAUUGAACAAAGCAGGAGUGUCCAACUCCAUAGUGAAAUGUUAACAAGUGAGUCGUCCUACCACAGAGCAUUGGAGCUGUUUACACAUCUUACCAUCUCUGUCAUGUUUUCUCAAUGAUCAGACCAUUUUAACCUGUAUCAGCACUCAAUAUGAGAUUUUUGGGCACAGAGAAUGAAAUGGUAGUUGACAUCUGCCAUUGAAUGCCGAUGAAUAAUGUCAGGGAUGAUGCACAUUUCUUCAUGUUUGCUGCAAAAUGUCUUGCACGUAACUGGGUGUGCCUGUGAAUGCAGUGUGAUGCCUGAAUGCGGCAUAGCACCUAAAAUCAGGGCAGGAUGUUGGAGUGGCUUUGAUCUCUACAUGUAACUAGUUCAUCCUUACCUGGAAUGCUUCUUGACUGGAUGCCCUAGUGCUGUCAUCUCUUCAGGAAACCCAGCCUCCUUUCACCUCAAUUAGGAGUAGUAAUCAAAGACGUAAAGUAAUAAAGGUAACAGAUUAUUUCCUGGACAUGAGACUUUAAUGAGACAAGUGCAGGGAUGAUUGUAUUCCCUCUGCUGCUUCUCAAGGAAAUAAACAUUGUCUUUAUUGAACCUACUACCUUCAUGUAAUUGUCUUAUUCUUAUACAUGGCCUACUUUCAUUCAGGUUGCAGGCUUAAACCUUGUUCUUUGUGUUCUAGGAGCUGCUGGUGUGGAUAAUGCAGGUGUGCCUGGACUUUGGGUAGUAGGCCGCACCAGCUUGGUUUGUCUGUGCCAAGUGUGCAGUAAGAAAAACUGAUGCUUGUUAAGUGUUCAAGUGCUUUGAUUGGGGAAUGGGCUGAUGCACAGAAGGAUUUUUUUUCUGGGUCGAGAGUAAGAAUAUGCAGAUGAAUAGCUAAUUAAUGUUGGAGUUGAACAAACUAAUCCUUUCUUUUUUUGACUGGAGUAAGAUGAAACUAACCAGCAGGCUCGCUGUUGAGAAGACAGGACUUUGUGACCGAUCAGUUCUAUCUUUAGCUUCUCUGGUCACACAAACAGACUAGAAAAGGAAGGAGAAGAAAAGGGAGUCUUGUGCAGCCUGAAAUAAUUGCUGUGCAAUUAUCAACUAGUGAAACAGCAUAAGCUUUGUUCUAGCUACCCUUCCAGUCCAUACAUGAGUUAAAAGUCUCUCCUAAGUAAAACCAUUAGCUUCUAAAUAAACUCUUAGCUUCUUUAGAUCAAAUUGUCUUGUAUAUAUUCCAUAAACAUGCAUUAACCUGCCUUAUUCACGUCUGGAAAUUUCUUCUAGGAUUCCUUGUAUGAACAGUUCUGAUGAACUGUAUUUUAUUUCUUUUCUGCUGUAUGGUGAUACUUAUUCUUUCCAGGCACUGAGUAAUCUCUGGGAUUGAACAGAUAGAUCCCAUUCUGUUGUGCAGUGUUAGUCUGGAUCUCUUCAUACUACUCCAUUUCUGUGAGAAAACUUGCUUAUGAAAUACUUGAAGCUCCAUAUGAGGCCUUUAAAUUAAACUUAAGUGAUUAAAUGACACUAAUCUGAUACUGGCAGUUCUGAGUCCCCACUGAGUGCUGUGGAACAAAUGGAUUACCUUACAUCUCAUGAACUACUACUUUUUCCCAGCCAAUUAUGACUCUGUUUAAAGUUCUGGCCAUUAGUUUAUUUUUUUUGAGGAUUGCUGUAUUCUGGGUAGUUUCAGAACUCUUAUUUUACUUUAUACCUACUGGCAGCGUUCUCUUGCCAAAAUGGUCUAUGAAGAUACUGUUUUACUUCUGAUUUGACUUCUUUUUCCAUCUUCAGUGGCGUUGUGCCUGCAUCUUUUGCCAGCAUCUUUCUGCACGUUUAAAGGGGAAAAGCAUACUGCAAUCAUGACUUUGUUCCCUGUUAGCUGUCAGUACUGCUGCAGGGAAAUGUGGUGUCUUAAAUUCUUGAGAGAAGAAAUCUACCCUCAAAUUUAUCUCAGAUACUUGCAUUCCUUCAGAGAGUCUCAAAUGCAUAAUUCCAGGAAGAGAUGCAAGUCCAGGUUUCUGUUAGAGCAGUCUGUAAGCUUCCCUUGCAAGGGAAACUUAGGAUAUUUCGUGUCCAGCUGCUUUGUUGCAAUAAAUUGCUCAGCUACACUUGAUUUCUGCCUGUGCAGCAAAUCUAAUGCAUAUGUGCUGCAAUUACAU
This 32759-nucleotide long non-coding RNA is filed under the name Gallus gallus (chicken). Lineage: Eukaryota; Metazoa; Chordata; Aves; Galliformes; Phasianidae. The record is from RNAcentral.